This is a long non-coding RNA of Penaeus monodon (black tiger shrimp), 174 nucleotides long. RefSeq lists it as uncharacterized. The record is from RefSeq and is a predicted model, not a curated record. The transcript is spliced from 3 exons. NCBI's taxonomy places the organism in Eukaryota, Metazoa, Arthropoda, Malacostraca, Decapoda, Penaeidae.
AGAAUGCAGCGAGUGAAUGACGGCUUCGUCCGAAUGACAUCCAGCCUUGAAAUCCUCUCCCAGGCUCUGACGUCACACCUGCAGCAGGAUGACGUCAUCAACCGAGGUACUUUCAUGCCAAGCGAGUUUGUGGAAAGAAUGAAAGCACAAGAGAACGAAAAUGCAACAACUGUU